Sebastes umbrosus (honeycomb rockfish) is the source of this 456-nucleotide long non-coding RNA. RefSeq lists it as uncharacterized. The transcript has 2 exons. NCBI's taxonomy places the organism in Eukaryota, Metazoa, Chordata, Actinopteri, Perciformes, Sebastidae. The record is from RefSeq and is a predicted model, not a curated record.
ACCGUUAGUCUAUACUUGAGUAGUCGAUGGACGGACAAAAGACAAAAUAAUCUGCAACUAUUUUGAUAUCCCAUUAAUGUAAUUUUUCAAGCAAAAAAGCCAAACAUUACUAGUUGCAGCCUCUCAGUUGUGACUAUUUGCUGCAUUUUCUUUCUCUUGUAUGAUAGUUAAAGGAGUAUGUUUGGGUUUUGGACUGUUGGUUGAACAAAAUAAGCAAUUUGUAGACAUCACGUCGAAUUUUAGGAAAUUGGGAUUCCCUUUUUCCUCACAUUUACAGACCAAAUGAUUAAUCAACUAAUCGAGAAAAUAGUCAAAAAUGGGCUCAUUGCAGCCCUACACUAAUACAUGAAUUUCAUUGUUAAAAGGUCUUAUUGAUAACAUUUUUAUGUAAACGAAUAUUUAAAAAAAUAAUAAUACAUCCAUAGAGCCUUUAGAAAGGUGCCGAAUAAAAGUGUG